This 253-nucleotide ribosomal RNA is filed under the name uncultured bacterium. RNAcentral's name for it is "partial 16S ribosomal RNA". It matches the Rfam family "Bacterial small subunit ribosomal RNA", at positions 524 to 776 of the family's 1533-position model. The record is from RNAcentral.
UACGAAGGGGGCUAGCGUUGUUCGGAUUCACUGGGCGUAAAGGGUGCGUAGGCGGUUGGGUAAGUCUGUCGUGAAAUCUCCGAGCCUAACUCGGAAACUGCGUCGGAUACUAUUCAACUCGAGGAAUGGAGGGGAGACUGGAAUUCUCGGUGUAGCAGUGAAAUGCGUAGAUAUCGUAAGGAAGACCAGUGGCGAAGGCGGGUCUCUGGACAGUUCCUGACGCUGAGGCACGAAGGUCAGGGGAGCAAACGGG